RNAcentral lists this long non-coding RNA (282 nucleotides) under Phoenix dactylifera (date palm). Its description in RNAcentral is "long non-coding RNA (PDAC_LNC010427)". Lineage: Eukaryota; Viridiplantae; Streptophyta; Magnoliopsida; Arecales; Arecaceae. The record is from RNAcentral.
AGGAGGAAAUUUCUCCUCUUCACGGCAUCAUCUCUUCGCUGGAGAAGCUUGGGUUCCCAGACCAAGUUCCCACAAAAAUAAGAGGGAGAGAUAGUAGUUUGGGUAUUUUGGGAAUGAUUUUCCAAAGAAAAAAAUAAUGAAGUUCAAGAGGGAGAGGAAGCCGACGGGAGAAAAGAAGGAGAACCCAGUCAUGAUGAAGGCCUUCUACAUCGCUGCUGCUGUCGCCCACGACUCCAUGGAAGACUGAUCUCCUCUCUAGGGCCGGAUGCAGCCCUAACAAAG